UGAUAAGUGAGGUGUACUUCAUGUUCCUGGU
This 31-nucleotide non-coding RNA is filed under the name Rattus norvegicus (Norway rat). Lineage: Eukaryota; Metazoa; Chordata; Mammalia; Rodentia; Muridae. The record is from RNAcentral.